UUUGAGUUCUAACCUUACCCUUCUUCCCAGCUUCGUGUCACUUAGUACAAUACUUUUUUUAGUACAAUGCUUUAUUCUAUUAUCAGGUCACACAUGAAAAUAUUCCAUUGUAUCAGACUCAGAGCGAGCCCCUGUGGAAUCCUGCUCACUGCAUCUCUCUGACUUUGCAGAUGAUAUGGUUUUUUAGAAAAUUUUCCCCACCUAGAAUCUUUGUUUUGUCUUGACCAUGCUUCCCUAGCCUAUUUAUAAGUGUUAUAUGAAGCAUGGUUAAGAUAUAUGACACCUACUGCUUUUCCUUUGCCCACAAAGUCUAUGAUUAUGGGAAAUUAAAUAACUUUGACAGACAACUAAGAGCAGAGAAAGAUGCUGGUAGCUGUUGUGGCACAAACUGGUCAUGAAAUCCCAAACCCGAAAAUCCAAGACUUGUUUACCGAAUAGUAAGGUCCACAUGUGCUAUGCCAUCAUAAUCAUUGUGUGUUAGCACUCUCCCAUGCCUUUCCCACCUUAAAUAUAACUCCGUAGGUCAAUAGGGAGAAUCCAUAGGUCUCUGCUAGCCCUCCUCAAGACACCCUUCUCCAGGGCAUUGAG
Molecule: long non-coding RNA, 588 nt
Filed under: Manacus vitellinus (golden-collared manakin)
Lineage: Eukaryota; Metazoa; Chordata; Aves; Passeriformes; Pipridae
Description: lncRNA (ENSMVIG00005010897.1)
Source: RNAcentral